AUCAAUUUAGAUUUCGAGCACCAAUUUCGUUACUUAUAUAAGCCAUCUCUUCUUAUAUUUGAUUUGCUGAUAUUGUAGAUAUAUAGAUGAAAGAACACACACAUCUAGGUGUUGUAAGCUGGAGUUUUGUUGAUUUGAUCUAACUAACAGAAAAAAGGGGAUCCUAUCGGAGCAGCCAUGGUACUGCAAAAUUGGUAAGGAUCGUUGCUAUUACUGCUACUUCGGGAGGAGUCAUAUGUUCUCAGUUUAUUUAGUAGUGCAAAAAUUGAUAAGUUACUUGAGCUAUUAUUAUAUUGUCGCAAUUGGAUUACGUUUAUCGUUUUGUUCCAUUUGAAUUUCAUAUUUGCCCUUGACCAGGAACUAUCGAGGCAUUAUUUUGUUAGUAGAACUACUAAUAAAGAACCAUUUUACUUAAUAGAAAAUAUUUUGUUGCCAUUGGAACUUGACCGAGUUGGAAACCAGUUUUAACAAAUUAGUAAUAUGCUUUCUAUCUUACUGCGGUGAGUUGUUAUAUCGUUGGACAUUAACAAUUUUGAAAUUUAGAUUUUAAAGACGGUGAAACUGACGAACACACGCUUCUGCUCAAGUAUAAGUAUCUGUUAGUUCUCUGUCAUUGUUGUUUUAGAACUUUUUCUACUUUAUGUGUGAUAUUUUAAAACUGAUUCAGCCUAUACUUCAAAAUUUUAUGUACUUUGGUCUCAAUAUUGCAUCUUACAAAUUUCUACUGUAGUUUAGAGCAAUGCUUGUAGAAUUUAUAGAUUUUUUUCUACAAUAUAGUCAUUCAUGUAAAUAAAUAAUUUGGAAUGUGGUGAUUUCUCCUGCAGUAUCAUCAUUCAUGUAAAUGCUUUGUACUUCUUGCUUUGGUGAUUCCUCCCUGUUCCUUCAAAAAGAGAACAAAAAGCGGAAUGACAUGAGAGAUUUUGAAAGUCUCUUUAUAUGGCAAAAUUCUAAGCUCUACUACAGCUUGGAUGGAUACCUCCAUUCGAGAAUAGAUCAUAGUGUAAGUAUGUUACUUUCAAGUCCAUUUUUUACCGUUAAUACAAAAUUUCUUGCCUGCAAUAGAAACCACUGUGAGGAUAUCUAUACGUAGUUUCAAAUCCGUGUCACAGAUAAAUUUAACAUUGCUUGUAAUUCGAUCCGUGAGAUAUUGGGUUGUUGCUAACCUACCCAAAUCCAAGUUAUUGUGUACAUUAUAGACAAAUAAAAGGUAACUGAUUAUUCCACUAUUCAAUAAUCUAUAUCCAAGUUAUUAGGAUUUGUUGCUAACCUACCCAAAUCCUAAUAAUCUAUAUCCUCCUGAAAGAAAAGAGUAAGAAAUAAAGACACAAGAAAAUGCAUAUAGCUAAAUUCUUUAUAUCUUGCCAAGAUAUUAGUUUAUGGUGUCUUAAAACUCAGUAUCUAAACAAUAUCAUACAAAGCAAAAUACAAAUAAAUAGGUACAAAUGCACAUACACAGUAAACAACAGAACAUCAACAAAGAGUAGAAAAUUAAUCUCAUAAACUGGAAAUGAAAGACAAAAGACAAUACCAUGUUAUUGACCUAAAAAGUAUUACUUGUAAUUGGCUUAGAGCUUUUAGGCAAUGUUGCUUCAAUACUUGACAUGCAUAUCAAAUGAUCUUUGAAAUUAUGCAACAUAUCUCCAUUUGGUGGACAUCCAAGUUGACAAAGUGAAUAUGAAUCUACACUUCAAAAAGUUAUUUCUCACUCUUUGAUGAACAUAGGAAAAUUAGUACACCACAAAAUGCCAUAAAUUCAUAAAUCUGUGUCAAAUUGCAAUAGAAAAAGCAACCUAAUAGAUGAUUACAACAACCUGAGAUAUUGUUAAACUCAAAUAUCUUCCAAAAUGUACUAGACUAUACUAGAGCUUCUGGAAUAUGCUUCUUUUAAGUUUUUUCCUUAACAUGUAAGAUACUUCAUUUGCAAUCUAAACAUUAGUAGAACAUGUUAACCAAAUAGAGAAUCCUCACAGUCAUAGGUCUCCUUAGCAAAUAAUCCUAAUGUCUCAUUUUGGCCUUUAGUUUUGUUAUACCUGAUGAAAUAUUUACUGAAAUAUACAGGUCGGGUUCUUUGUUCUCUCUUAUUUAUGAUUGUCGAGUCAUCAUUAUGCAUUGUUUUAUUAACUUGCUCUAUCUUAGGAUAAUUUUCAGUUAUUACUUCAGGCUUCUUUAUUAUGUUUAUGAAUCUUUCUUUGUUUUUGUGUUUGUUCUUGAUAAAUUAAGUUUAUUGGGAUUUCUGGAGAGAAUUACACUCUUAUUAUGCUCAUGAUAGCUCUUUUGUUAUUAUGUUCCUUAAUUGUCUUGCUGGAAGUUUGCCACGAUAACAAUCCUUUGAGUUUUAUACCCUGACCGCCUGAUGCCAUCUCAAUUAUUUUUGAAAGAGAAUUAACCUAUAUUAAGAAGUCUAGAACAUGUGGUUUGAAUCAAAGGCACAUAAGAAAAGUCACAUUACCAAUACAAGAGUUAUCUUAUUAGUUGAGUUAUUGAUACCUUUAUUUAUUAAGAAUAUAGAUAUUUUUGAUGAAUGGAAAGCUUUUAGAAGAAAAGCAACUCUUCAGUCAAGAUUAUUACCAAAAGAACAAGGAGGAGUGCAUCCACAAAUUCAUGAUACAAGAUCGUUGUGGAAGUUCACAACUUUGCUGUUCUGUAUGUCUGUAAUGACAUGGAUGAACAUGAUUAUCCCUUUGUGUGCGAGUCUCUGCAACUCACAAGAAAAUUAUGAUCAAUCCUUGAUCUAUAUGCAAGAACUACUUUAGUCAAUUUUGUUAAUUAAACCUUUCACGAAAGAUAAUUCAAUUUCUUACUUGCUGAUUUUUCCUUCUGGUUCAUUUGGAUUUUUAAGUGUCGAAUGAAAACAUAUCUCUAUUUGAUAGAGGCAAUCAAGAUGUGGGACUAUACUGGAUAUGUUAUUGUUGACAGAGGUGAUCAAGUUGAAAAGUGAACAUAUUGGUAGAGCUUUUUUCUAAAAAUAAUAGAUGUAAGUUUUCCCCCAACAAUUUCAUAACUAUUAUUUUUGUUUGUUCCUUUGCUGUUAGAUUUGUGUGCUGUUUAUCGAAUUACAUAAACUUGAUUGUACUUAUUUUUUUGGAUCAGGUGUUUGUACUUUGUUCAUUAGAAAUUGCAGGUAUCAAUCUCAAGUGUGGUUGCACUUCUAUCCACAUGUAAGUGUUGUCUCAUUUGUUAUCUAGAAAUUUGACUUGCAUAGACAAAUUAUUGGUAUUACCACUUUAUAAUUGAUUCGAUUGUUGCUUAUGAUGUUAAUAUUUACAUGUAUUGCUAUAUUCAUUAAAAUUUAUGUCUGGAAAUAGUGGCAGACAAAGCAUAAGCUUGAUGGGUUCAAUUGUGUCGAUUAUCUUCGACCCGAUACAUGACCCAUAUGUGAUUUAAAGAGAGUAAUGUUUUCCGUUGUAAGAACCUAAAGGAUGAAUCUAUGAAAUUUAAACAUUGAAUCCUCUUCUUGUGAAGGCAAUCUUAACCAAUACUUUUCAGUGUGUAGUAGAGAUUACUCCUUACUAGGUGGUUACCAUUUGAGAAUUUUGGUUGGCCUUUUCCUGAAAUUUUAGUGUCAUAUAUAUGAGAUAUGCUAGAGUGAACCUUCAAAACUUCAUAAUUGAAAUUCAUUGUUUUUCCAAGUGUGAUUCCAUCUAUUCUACAAGUUAGCAGACAAUUACAAAAUGAAAAAGAAGAGGGUUAUCAUCAAAGUAAUUCAUAAUUUUUCUGUUUAUCUUAGAACUGCUGAAAAUUUGAGUAAACAUUCAACUGUUAGUACUAUACCCUCCUUUGGAUUGUUAAUAUAGUAGUUCCGACUACUGAGCUUGAAUUGGGUUGCCUCUCUAAUCGAGAUCGUAGUCCUCAAGCACCACUAAGAGAGGCAACCCAAUACAAGCUCUAUCUAAGAUCCUUAUGAUCGGAUGAAUAAUUUUAUCAGUCAUUGUUUAAGUUAUUUUGUUCCAAUGAAGAUAUUCUUAUAAGUAAACUUUUA
This 3979-nucleotide long non-coding RNA is filed under the name Solanum tuberosum (potato). RNAcentral's name for it is "long non-coding RNA (STUB_LNC002437)". Lineage: Eukaryota; Viridiplantae; Streptophyta; Magnoliopsida; Solanales; Solanaceae. The record is from RNAcentral.